CAAGCCGAAGGAAGGUGGGGAUGACGUCAAGUCCUCAUGGCCCUUAUAGGUGGGGGCUACACACGUCAUACAAUGGCUGGUACAAAGGGUUGCCAACCCGCGAGGGGGAGCCAAUCCCAUAAAGCCAGUCGUAGUCCGGAUCGUAGUCUGCAACUCGACUACGUGAAGUCGGAAUCGCUAGUAAUCGUGGAUCAGAAUGUCACGGUGAAUACGUUCCCGGGUCUU
This 225-nucleotide ribosomal RNA is filed under the name uncultured Rhodoferax sp. RNAcentral describes it as "partial 16S ribosomal RNA". It matches the Rfam family "Bacterial small subunit ribosomal RNA", at positions 1159 to 1382 of the family's 1533-position model. The record is from RNAcentral. Lineage: Bacteria; Pseudomonadati; Pseudomonadota; Betaproteobacteria; Burkholderiales; Comamonadaceae.